This 498-nucleotide ribosomal RNA is filed under the name uncultured bacterium. RNAcentral describes it as "partial 16S ribosomal RNA". It matches the Rfam family "Bacterial small subunit ribosomal RNA", at positions 30 to 523 of the family's 1533-position model. The record is from RNAcentral.
AUUGAACGCUGGCGGCAUGCCUUACACGUGCAAGUCGAACGGUAACAGGUCUUCGGAUGCUGACGAGUGGCGAACGGGUGAGUAAUACAUCGGAACGUGCCUAGUAGUGGGGGAUAACUACUCGAAAGAGUGGCUAAUACCGCAUGAGAUCUACGGAUGAAAGCAGGGGAUCGCAAGACCUUGUGCUACUAGAGCGGCCGAUGGCAGAUUAGGUAGUUGGUGGGAUAAAAGCUUACCAAGCCGACGAUCUGUAGCUGGUCUGAGAGGACGAUCAGCCACACUGGGACUGAGACACGGCCCAGACUCCUACGGGAGGCAGCAGUGGGGAAUUUUGGACAGUGGGCGCAAGCCUGAUCCAGCAAUGCCGCGUGCAGGAUGAAGGCCUUCGGGUUGUAAACUGCUUUUGUACGGAACGAAAAGCCCUGGGUUAAUACCCUGGGGUCAUGACGGUACCGUAAGAAUAAGCACCGGCUAACUACGUGCCAGCAGCCGCGGUAA